AUUGAACGCUGGCGGCAGGCCUAACACAUGCAAGUCGAGCGGAUGAAGGGAGCUUGCUCCUGGAUUCAGCGGCGGACGGGUGAGUAAUGCCUAGGAAUCUGCCUGGUAGUGGGGGAUAACGUCCGGAAACGGGCGCUAAUACCGCAUACGUCCUGAGGGAGAAAGUGGGGGAUCUUCGGACCUCACGCUAUCAGAUGAGCCUAGGUCGGAUUAGCUAGUUGGUGGGGUAAAGGCUUACCAAGGCGACGAUCCGUAACUGGUCUGAGAGGAUGAUCAGUCACACUGGAACUGAGACACGGUCCAGACUCCUACGGGAGGCAGCAGUGGGGAAUAUUGGACAAUGGGCGAAAGCCUGACGCAGCAAUGCCGCGUGUGUGAAGAAGGUCUUCGGAUCGUAAAGCACUGUUAGUAGGGAGGAAGGAAAGUAAGAGAAUACCUUGCUGUCUUGACGUUACCAACACAGUAAGCCACGGCUAACUACGUG
RNAcentral lists this ribosomal RNA (484 nucleotides) under uncultured bacterium. Its description in RNAcentral is "partial 16S ribosomal RNA". It matches the Rfam family "Bacterial small subunit ribosomal RNA", at positions 30 to 507 of the family's 1533-position model. The record is from RNAcentral.